This 510-nucleotide ribosomal RNA is filed under the name uncultured bacterium. Its description in RNAcentral is "partial 16S ribosomal RNA". It matches the Rfam family "Bacterial small subunit ribosomal RNA", at positions 28 to 507 of the family's 1533-position model. The record is from RNAcentral.
GACGAACGCUGGCGGCGUGCUUAACACAUGCAAGUCGAACGAAGAGCGAUGGAAGCUUGCUUCUAUCAAUCUUAGUGGCGAACGGGUGAGUAACGCGUAAUCAACCUGCCCUUCAGAGGGGGACAACAGUUGGAAACGACUGCUAAUACCGCAUACGAUCUAAUCUCGGCAUCGAGGAUAGAUGAAAGGUGGCCUCUACAUGUAAGCUAUCACUGAAGGAGGGGAUUGCGUCUGAUUAGCUAGUUGGGGGGGUAACGGCCCACCAAGGCGAUGAUCAGUAGCCGGUCUGAGAGGAUGAACGGCCACAUUGGGACUGAGACCCGGCCCAGACUCCUACGGGAGGCAGCAGUGGGGAAUCUUCCGCAAUGGACGAAAGUCUGACGGAGCAACGCCGCGUGAGCGAUGACGGCCUUCGGGUUGUAAAGCUCUGUUAAUCGGGACGAAAGGCCUUCUUGCGAAUAGUGAGAAGGAUUGACGGUACCGGAAUAGAAAGCCACGGCUAACUACGUG